UCGAGGAUCUUCGGCAAUGGGCGCAAGCCUGACCGAGCGACGCCGCGUGUGCGAUGAAGGCCUUCGGGUUGUAAAGCACUGUCGAGGGGGAGGAAAGCCGCAAGGUCUGACCUAUCCCUGGAGGAAGCACGGGCUAAGUUCGUGCCAGCAGCCGCGGUAAGACGAACCGUGCGAACGUUGUUCGGAAUCACUGGGCUUAAAGGGCGCGUAGGCGGGUCUCAAAGUCCGGGGUGAAAUCCUCCAGCUCAACUGGAGAAGAGCCUUGGAAACUAGAGGUCUCGAGGGAGGUAGGGGUCCGUGGAACUUCGGGUGGAGCGGUGAAAUGCGUUGAUAUCCGAAGGAACGCCGGUGGCGAAAGCGACGGACUGGAUCUCUUCUGACGCUGAGGCGCGAAAGCCAGGGGAGCAAACGGGAUUAGAUACCCCCGUAGUCC
Molecule: ribosomal RNA, 433 nt
Filed under: uncultured bacterium
Lineage: Bacteria
Description: bacterial SSU rRNA
Rfam family: Bacterial small subunit ribosomal RNA
Source: RNAcentral